Molecule: long non-coding RNA, 454 nt
Organism: Pseudophryne corroboree (corroboree frog)
Lineage: Eukaryota; Metazoa; Chordata; Amphibia; Anura; Myobatrachidae
Exons: 4
Source: RefSeq, a predicted model, not a curated record
CUUUGGCAGCGCUCUCUGUCCUGGAGAAAUCUGCACUCUGAAACUGCUGUUGAUACUCUGCCGGUUUACACUGCUGUCUUCAAGUGAAAGAAUGAGGAUUUGAUUUUGGCUGAUAUCUGAUGUUUAAGUGUCAAUCCACCAUCUAGGACAACGCCAAGAUUCCGAACAUAAUCAGUGGUUUGUAAUUCUGAAUCCCCAAAUUAUUACAGGGUCUCCAGCCUCAGGAUUGAUACAAGAUUACUCACUCAACCUGUGCUGGAAACUUUCAUGUUUUGUUACUGUGUUGGAAGAUGACUGUUACACAGUUUCUCAUUCAAGAUGUACUAAUAUUUCCAAGUCCACAGUUCUAUAGAUCACGAUGAACUGAACUUCCAGAAAACAGCAGCAAGACCUUGGCAGAAUAUUGAGCUUAAAUGGUUUGAAAACAAAAGCAUUAAAUCCAUGGAAUGGGCAC